AAGGUUGACCUCGGAUCAGGGUAAGGAAUCCCCCAAU
This 37-nucleotide ribosomal RNA is filed under the name Septoria bupleuri. Its description in RNAcentral is "partial 28S ribosomal RNA". Lineage: Eukaryota; Fungi; Ascomycota; Dothideomycetes; Mycosphaerellales; Mycosphaerellaceae. The record is from RNAcentral.